ACCGCGUCAGGGAGGAGCCGAUUCUGUCCUACAAGGGCGCCAGGACCCAAACGACGACGGCUGUCCCCAAAGAACCCCUGCGACUGGGAAUUGAAGUGCAAGAGAGUCCGGAUUUCCUGUGUGUGGUCGAGGAGACGGAUAAACUUCUUGUCCUCAGGAGAGGGAGCGUUUCGUAGGCUCCCCAGGGGUUGAGGUGCUUCCAGCUUCUGCCAAGAUGCCCCAGAAACAGCCUCGUAGGCAGAGCAUCAGUGUGGGCAGAGGCGCCAGGAAGCGGGAUGAAGAUUCAGGGACCGAAGUAGGAGAAGGGCAAGAUGAAUGGAACCAGUCCAAGGCCACAGUCAGACCCCCUGACCAGCUGGAGUUGACGGACGCGGAGUUAAAGGAGGAGUUCACCCGGAUCUUGACAGCCAACAACCCACAUGCACCCCAGAACAUUGUGAGGUACAGUUUCAAAGAAGGCACAUAUAAGCUUAUUGGCUUUGUGAAUCAACUGGCAGUUCACUUCAGCCAGGUUGGGAACCUGAUCCCCAAAGACUCGGAUGAAGGGCGACGGCAGCGCUACCGUGCUGAGCGGGUGGCAGGUUCUCUGGAGUCUGCCAAGGUGACGCUAUCAGAAACGGAAAACCUUGAAGAAGAAGAAGAGCCCAAAGAGGCUGAGGUUGAAGCUGGAAGCCAAACAGAUGUGCCUGCAGCUGAGGCAGUUGAAAAAGUGACUGAAGAACUGAUGACUACUAAGCAACCCAAGGAGCGAAAACUCACUAACCAGUUCAACUUCAGUGAGAGAGCCUCGCAGACCUUCAACAACCCUCUCCGGAAUCGUGAAUGCCAGAUGGAGCCUCCUCCUAGGACAAAUUUUUCAGCUACAGCCAAUCAGUGGGAGAUCUACGAUGCCUACAUGGAAGAGCUUGAGAAGCAGGAAAAGACCAAAGAGAAAGAGAAGACAAAGACUCCAGUGGCUAAAAAGACAGAGAAGAUGGCCAUGAGGAAGCUGACAUCCAUGGAGUCCCAGACAGAUGACAUCACCAAAGUGUCCCAGGCUGCUAAAAUUGUGGAGCGGAUGGUCAAUCAGAAUACAUAUGAUGACAUCGCUCAAGAUUUUAAGUACUAUGAGGAUGCUGCUGACGAAUACCGGGACCAGGAGGGGACCCUGCUGCCGCUCUGGAAGUUCCAAAACGACAAGGCCAAGCACCUGGCUGUCACCGCCCUCUGCUGGAAUCCAAAGUACAAGGAUCUGUUUGCAGUGGGACAUGGCUCCUAUGACUUCAUGAAGCAGAGCCGGGGCAUGCUGCUGCUCUACAGCAUGAAGAACCCCAGCUUCCCCGAGUACAUCUUCAGCAGCGACAGUGGCAUCAUGUGCCUCGACAUGCAUGUGGACCACCCCUACCUGGUGGUGGUGGGUCACUACGACGGCAACGUGGCCAUCUACAACCUCAAGAAGCCCCACUCCCAGCCCUGCUUCCGCAGCUCGGCCAAGUCUGGCAAGCACACCGACCCUGUGUGGCAGGUCAAGUGGCAGAAGGAUGACAUGGACCACAACCUGAACUUCUUUUCGGUGUCAUCUGAUGGCAGGAUCGUGUCUUGGACCCUCGUGAAGAGUGAGCUGAUCCACACAGAUGUCAUCAAGCUGAAGGUGGAAGGCAGCACCUCGGAAGUUCCUGAGGGGUUGCCACUGCACACCGUGGGCUGUGGCACCGCCUUCGACUUCCACAAAGAGAUUGACUACAUGUUCCUAGUGGGCACAGAGGAGGGGAAAAUCUACAAGGUGAGGCAGGGCUGCCCUGUGCCAGCUCCUCAGGGCCGCCUCGACCCGAGCACCCUGGGAGCUUCUUGUUUGCAACAGACGCUAGUGCUCAUCCAUUCUCGAAGUCUUCUUGGGAGAAAAGAGUGCAUUUCUUGACCUAAGUGGCUGGCAGCAAGAGGGGCCACAUGCAGGAAAGUCAUCUAGAGGAAGAUUUCUGCCCAGCCCAGCCUCCCUCUGGGCCCACCCAGCCUCCUCCCUUCCUAGGAGUGAAGGUAGAGGUGGGAGUGGGAGUUGGGUUGGAUGUGCUGGAACAUUCCAGGAAGACUUCCUGGAGGAGACUUGAACUUAACCUGAACUUUGAAGGCAGAUUUGUGUGUGAAUACCAGGUGCAUUCCAGCAGCCAGGAUGGAGCCUCCCCGCCACUUGCUGCAAGGUCUCAGUGUUAGUAGGUGACCAUCCUGAGCCUCCAUCCAUCCAGAAAUAGCUCUGCUGCAAGCUUUUCUUAGGCUCAGAGACUCAGAAUGUUAAUUACAGGCAGCCUCCCGGGAGCCCCAGAGGCCCAGCCAGAGCUGUUCUGAAUGCAAAAGAGGUCCCCGCCCCCCACUCAGCCCCUCCCAGUGGCAGCCCCAGAGAGGCUGGAGGGAAGGAGAGACCAGGCAGUCCCUCUGGCUCUCAGAGGGAGGGAGGGAGGGAGGGAGAACGGGGCGUGCUGGUCAGGGCAGGAAACUGAAUGGGAAAUCCAGAGAUCAGUGUCUGCUCCUGGCUCUGCACCUGCUCUUCCAUGGACAAGUGUUCCAAAUCCUACUCCAGCCAAUUCCUCGACACCUACGAUGCCCACAACAUGGCGGUGGACGCUGUGACCUGGAACCCCUACCACACCAGGGUCUUCAUGUCCUGCA
This is a non-coding RNA of Oryctolagus cuniculus (rabbit), 2640 nucleotides long. NCBI's taxonomy places the organism in Eukaryota, Metazoa, Chordata, Mammalia, Lagomorpha, Leporidae. The record is from RefSeq and is a predicted model, not a curated record.